This 466-nucleotide ribosomal RNA is filed under the name uncultured bacterium. Its description in RNAcentral is "partial 16S ribosomal RNA". It matches the Rfam family "Bacterial small subunit ribosomal RNA", at positions 28 to 507 of the family's 1533-position model. The record is from RNAcentral.
GAUGAACGCUAGCGGCGUGCUUAACACAUGCAAGUCGAACGAUGAAGCCCAGCUUGCUGGGUGGAUUAGUGGCGAACGGGUGAGUAACACGUGAGUAACCUGCCCUUAACUCUGGGAUAAGCCUGGGAAACUGGGUCUAAUACCGGAUAGGAGCGUCCACCGCAUGGUGGGUGUUGGAAAGAUUUAUCGGUUUUGGAUGGACUCGCGGCCUAUCAGCUUGUUGGUGAGGUAAUGGCUCACCAAGGCGACGACGGGUAGCCGGCCUGAGAGGGUGACCGGCCACACUGGGACUGAGACACGGCCCAGACUCCUACGGGAGGCAGCAGUGGGGAAUAUUGCACAAUGGGCGAAAGCCUGAUGCAGCGACGCCGCGUGAGGGAUGACGGCCUUCGGGUUGUAAACCUCUUUCAGUAGGGAAGAAGCGAAAGUGACGGUACCUGCAGAAGAAGCACCGGCUAACUACGUG